This 23-nucleotide ribosomal RNA is filed under the name Ziziphus mauritiana (Indian jujube). RNAcentral describes it as "partial 28S ribosomal RNA". Lineage: Eukaryota; Viridiplantae; Streptophyta; Magnoliopsida; Rosales; Rhamnaceae. The record is from RNAcentral.
AAGACCCCAAUGCGUCGCGGAUG